This 820-nucleotide ribosomal RNA is filed under the name Streptomyces sp. RNAcentral describes it as "bacterial SSU rRNA". It matches the Rfam family "Bacterial small subunit ribosomal RNA", at positions 93 to 920 of the family's 1533-position model. The record is from RNAcentral. Lineage: Bacteria; Bacillati; Actinomycetota; Actinomycetes; Kitasatosporales; Streptomycetaceae.
UAGUGGCGACGGGUGAGUACACGUGGGCAAUCUGCCCUUCACUCUGGGACAAGCCCUGGAAACGGGGUCUAAUACCGGAUAACACUCUGUCCCGCGUGGGACGGGGUUAAAAGCUCCGGCGGUGAAGGAUGAGCCCGCGGCCUAUCAACUUGUUGGUGGGGUAAUGGCCUACCAAGGCGACAACGGGUAGCCGGCCUGAGAGGGCGACCGGCCACACUGGGACUGAGACACGGCCCAGACUCCUACGGGAGGCAGCAGUGGGGAAUAUUGCACAAUGGGCGAAAGCCUGAUGCAGCGACGCCGCGUGAGGGAUGACGGCCUUCGGGUUGUAAACCUCUUUCAGCAGGGAAGAAGCGCAAGUGACGGUACCUGCUCAAGAAGCACCGGCUAACUACGUGCCAGCAGCCGCGGUAAUACGUAGGGUGCGAGCGUUGUCCGGAAUUAUUGGGCGUAAAGAGCUCGGAGGCGGCUUGUCACGUCUGAUGUGAAAGCUCAGCGCUUAACCGCGAGUCUGCAUUCGAUACGGGCUAUCUAGAGUGUGGUACGAGAGAUCGGUAUUCCUGGUGUAGCGGUGAAGUGCGCAGAUAUCACGAGGAACACCGGUGGCGAAUGCGGAUCUCUGGGACCAUUACUGACGCUGAGGAGCGAAAGCGUGGGGAGCGAACAUGAUUGGAUCUCCUGAUAGUCCACGCCGUAAGCGUUGAGGACUAGGUGUUCGGCGACAUUCCACCGUCGUCAGUGUCGCAGCUAACGGCAUUGGAGUUCCUCGCCUGCGUAGUACGGCCGCAUGCCUAAAACAUCAAAAGCAGUUGACCGGGGG